Hyaena hyaena (striped hyena) is the source of this 214-nucleotide small nucleolar RNA. RefSeq annotates it as small nucleolar RNA U3. NCBI's taxonomy places the organism in Eukaryota, Metazoa, Chordata, Mammalia, Carnivora, Hyaenidae. The transcript has a single exon. The record is from RefSeq and is a predicted model, not a curated record.
AAGACUAUACUUUCAGGGAUCAUUUCUAUAGUUCGUUACUAGAGAAGUUUCUCUGAACGUGUAGAGUACCCGAAACCACGAGGAGGAGGCGUAGUGUUCUCUCCUGAGCGUGAAGUUGGCUUUUAGUGCUGUUUUUAUAGCUACUGAUUGCCAUUGAUGAUCGUUCUUUCUCCUCUUUAGGGGAGUAAGAGGGAGAGGACACAGUCUGAGUGGU